ACUACGGGAGUCAGCAGUAGGGAAUCUUCCACAAUGGGCGAAAGCCUGAUGGAGCAACGCCGCGUGGGUUAAGAAGGUCUUCGGAUCGUAAAACCCUGUUGUUAGAGAAGAAAGUGCGUGAGAGUAACUGUUCACGUUUCGACGGUAUCUAACCAGAAAGCCACGGCUGACGACGUGCCAGCAGCCGCGGUAAUACGUAGGUGGCAAGCGUUAUCCGGGUUUAUUGGGCGUAAAGGGAACGCAGGCAGUCUUUUAAGUCUUAUGUGAAAGCCUUCGGCUCAACCGGAGUAGUGCAUGGGAAACUGGGAGACUUGAGUGCAGAAGAGGAGAGUGGAACUCCAUGUGUAGCGGUGAAAUGCGUAGAUAUAUGGAAGAACACCAGUGGCGAAAGCGGCUCUCUGGUCUGUAACUGACGCUGAGGUUCGAAAGCGUGGGUAGCAAACAGGAGUAGAUACCCUUGUAGUC
This 465-nucleotide ribosomal RNA is filed under the name uncultured bacterium. RNAcentral describes it as "partial 16S ribosomal RNA". It matches the Rfam family "Bacterial small subunit ribosomal RNA", at positions 338 to 795 of the family's 1533-position model. The record is from RNAcentral.